Molecule: ribosomal RNA, 2787 nt
Filed under: Escherichia coli
Lineage: Bacteria; Pseudomonadati; Pseudomonadota; Gammaproteobacteria; Enterobacterales; Enterobacteriaceae
Description: bacterial LSU rRNA
Rfam family: Bacterial large subunit ribosomal RNA
Source: RNAcentral
AGCGUACACGGUGGAUGCCCUGGCAGUCAGAGGCGAUGAAGGACGUGCUAAUCUGCGAUAAGCGUCGGUAAGGUGAUAUGAACCGUUAUAACCGGCGAUUUCCGAAUGGGGAAACCCAGUGUGAUUCGUCACACUAUCAUUAACUGAAUCCAUAGGUUAAUGAGGCGAACCGGGGGAACUGAAACAUCUAAGUACCCCGAGGAAAAGAAAUCAACCGAGAUUCCCCCAGUAGCGGCGAGCGAACGGGGAGGAGCCCAGAGCCUGAAUCAGUGUGUGUGUUAGUGGAAGCGUCUGGAAAGGCGUGCGAUACAGGGUGACAGCCCCGUACACAAAAAUGCACAUAUUGUGAGCUCGAUGAGUAGGGCGGGACACGUGGUAUCCUGUCUGAAUAUGGGGGGACCAUCCUCCAAGGCUAAAUACUCCUGACUGACCGAUAGUGAACCAGUACCGUGAGGGAAAGGCGAAAAGAACCCCGGCGAGGGGAGUGAAAAAGAACCUGAAACCGUGUACGUACAAGCAGUGGGAGCCUCUUAAUGGGGUGACUGCGUACCUUUUGUAUAAUGGGUCAGCGACUUAUAUUCUGUAGCAAGGUUAACCGAAUAGGGGAGCCGAAGGGAAACCGAGUCUUAACUGGGCGUUAAGUUGCAGGGUAUAGACCCGAAACCCGGUGAUCUAGCCAUGGGCAGGUUGAAGGUUGGGUAACACUAACUGGAGGACCGAACCGACUAAUGUUGAAAAAUUAGCGGAUGACUUGUGGCUGGGGGUGAAAGGCCAAUCAAACCGGGAGAUAGCUGGUUCUCCCCGAAAGCUAUUUAGGUAGCGCCUCGUGAAUUCAUCUCCGGGGGUAGAGCACUGUUUCGGCAAGGGGGUCAUCCCGACUUACCAACCCGAUGCAAACUGCGAAUACCGGAGAAUGUUAUCACGGGAGACACACGGCGGGUGCUAACGUCCGUCGUGAAGAGGGAAACAACCCAGACCGCCAGCUAAGGUCCCAAAGUCAUGGUUAAGUGGGAAACGAUGUGGGAAGGCCCAGACAGCCAGGAUGUUGGCUUAGAAGCAGCCAUCAUUUAAAGAAAGCGUAAUAGCUCACUGGUCGAGUCGGCCUGCGCGGAAGAUGUAACGGGGCUAAACCAUGCACCGAAGCUGCGGCAGCGACACUAUGUGUUGUUGGGUAGGGGAGCGUUCUGUAAGCCUGUGAAGGUGGCCUGUGAGGGUUGCUGGAGGUAUCAGAAGUGCGAAUGCUGACAUAAGUAACGAUAAAGCGGGUGAAAAGCCCGCUCGCCGGAAGACCAAGGGUUCCUGUCCAACGUUAAUCGGGGCAGGGUGAGUCGACCCCUAAGGCGAGGCCGAAAGGCGUAGUCGAUGGGAAACAGGUUAAUAUUCCUGUACUUGGUGUUACUGCGAAGGGGGGACGGAGAAGGCUAUGUUGGCCGGGCGACGGUUGUCCCGGUUUAAGCGUGUAGGCUGGUUUUCCAGGCAAAUCCGGAAAAUCAAGGCUGAGGCGUGAUGACGAGGCACUACGGUGCUGAAGUAACAAAUGCCCUGCUUCCAGGAAAAGCCUCUAAGCAUCAGGUAACAUCAAAUCGUACCCCAAACCGACACAGGUGGUCAGGUAGAGAAUACCAAGGCGCUUGAGAGAACUCGGGUGAAGGAACUAGGCAAAAUGGUGCCGUAACUUCGGGAGAAGGCACGCUGAUAUGUAGGUGAAGCGACUUGCUCGUGGAGCUGAAAUCAGUCGAAGAUACCAGCUGGCUGCAACUGUUUAUUAAAAACACAGCACUGUGCAAACACGAAAGUGGACGUAUACGGUGUGACGCCUGCCCGGUGCCGGAAGGUUAAUUGAUGGGGUUAGCGGUAACGCGAAGCUCUUGAUCGAAGCCCCGGUAAACGGCGGCCGUAACUAUAACGGUCCUAAGGUAGCGAAAUUCCUUGUCGGGUAAGUUCCGACCUGCACGAAUGGCGUAAUGAUGGCCAGGCUGUCUCCACCCGAGACUCAGUGAAAUUGAACUCGCUGUGAAGAUGCAGUGUACCCGCGGCAAGACGGAAAGACCCCGUGAACCUUUACUAUAGCUUGACACUGAACAUUGAGCCUUGAUGUGUAGGAUAGGUGGGAGGCUUUGAAGUGUGGACGCCAGUCUGCAUGGAGCCGACCUUGAAAUACCACCCUUUAAUGUUUGAUGUUCUAACGUUGGCCCGUAAUCCGGGUUGCGGACAGUGUCUGGUGGGUAGUUUGACUGGGGCGGUCUCCUCCUAAAGAGUAACGGAGGAGCACGAAGGUUGGCUAAUCCUGGUCGGACAUCAGGAGGUUAGUGCAAUGGCAUAAGCCAGCUUGACUGCGAGCGUGACGGCGCGAGCAGGUGCGAAAGCAGGUCAUAGUGAUCCGGUGGUUCUGAAUGGAAGGGCCAUCGCUCAACGGAUAAAAGGUACUCCGGGGAUAACAGGCUGAUACCGCCCAAGAGUUCAUAUCGACGGCGGUGUUUGGCACCUCGAUGUCGGCUCAUCACAUCCUGGGGCUGAAGUAGGUCCCAAGGGUAUGGCUGUUCGCCAUUUAAAGUGGUACGCGAGCUGGGUUUAGAACGUCGUGAGACAGUUCGGUCCCUAUCUGCCGUGGGCGCUGGAGAACUGAGGGGGGCUGCUCCUAGUACGAGAGGACCGGAGUGGACGCAUCACUGGUGUUCGGGUUGUCAUGCCAAUGGCACUGCCCGGUAGCUAAAUGCGGAAGAGAUAAGUGCUGAAAGCAUCUAAGCACGAAACUUGCCCCGAGAUGAGUUCUCCCUGACUCCUUGA